Molecule: transfer RNA, 70 nt
Filed under: Neotoma lepida (desert woodrat)
Lineage: Eukaryota; Metazoa; Chordata; Mammalia; Rodentia; Cricetidae
Rfam family: tRNA
About the family: Transfer RNA (tRNA) molecules are approximately 80 nucleotides in length.
Source: Rfam by way of RNAcentral
GGAGAUGUAGCUCAGUUGGUAGAGUGCUUGUGUGGUGUGCAUGAAGCCCUGGGUUCAAUCCUCAGCACCA